RNAcentral lists this long non-coding RNA (1325 nucleotides) under Sinocyclocheilus anshuiensis. RNAcentral's name for it is "lncRNA (ENSSANG00000032061.1)". Lineage: Eukaryota; Metazoa; Chordata; Actinopteri; Cypriniformes; Cyprinidae. The record is from RNAcentral.
UUAGAUAUAUGUGCUAUUGCAUAUUGUCUUCUAAUCUGAAGCAAAUCUCUUUUCCUUGAAGCUGAGGAGGUAAAGAAACUAAAGUCUCGUGUCAGUGCUCUUGAGGGAAUAUCCUCCUCCAUGAAAGCUCACACGAGUCGUCUGUCCGCUCCUAUUGAUGACAUUGGCAUAUAUAAAGAAGCUGGAAGUAAAGCGGCUUAUGUUAAUUCACUGGAUUCUGCAGUUUAUUCAGACAAUUCUGUACUGCAAAGAAAUGUACAGCAAAUACUUAGAGCAGAGCUGCAGUCUGAAGCCAUGAAAGCCUUCCUUGCUUCUUCAGUUAAAGCUGAAAGAGGACUUCCAGGGCCUAAAGGUGACACUGGAUCUCCAGGAACAAAGGGUUUGUACAAUUUUAAAACUGGCUGUGAAAAGUCUGUUAGUUGAACUAUAUGUUUAUAUUGAUCUGCUUACAGUCUUAAACAUGAAAACUUAAAACAAUUUUAACUGUUUUUCAGGAGAUAAUGGUUUUCCAGGCCUUCCAGGUAUGAAUAAUGUUUGAUCCUCUGUAGAGCUAAUCUUAACAGUUGUGCAGAAUGAAGUCUUAACAGAUUUCAUUGCUUUUUGAUGUGCAUCUCUAGGUCCACCAGGAAUGCCAGGACAUCCAGGAAGAGAAGGACAAAAAGGAAGUGCAGGUACCUGAAACAUUAGGCAGCACUUUUAUUUUGUGGGAAAAUCAUUCACCAUCAUUAAUUCUGUGUUUAAAUCACAAAGUAAAUUAACAAGUAGCCCAAAAGAUAAGGCCUAGAGGUUAAGGUUUAGAAAUACAGUCCAUAAAUGCUGCAUCUGACAGGUGCUAAUACUGUAGCACUAACAAAUAACUUUAAAUAGUCAAUUCUUACAAUCCAGUUGACAGACUAGGCCCUACCUACAUUCAAGAUACAUCUCUUCUGUGAACACUUGACUCAGUCCUGUUAAUGCUCUUAGUUCUUUUGAAAAAAAGAAUGAACCUUUUCCAGAUGUUGCCUCAUCAAAACCUUAAAAUGUGUAUGACAGGUGAACGUGGUCCAGAAGGACCACCAGGUUUCAGAGCAAGAGAUGGUCAGCCUGGACCCCGUGGAGAGCCAGGACCCCCAGGGGCCGGAGAGAAGGGUGAAAGGGGUAUUCCUGGUCCUCCUGGCUCUCCUGGUCUUGUUGGUCCACCUGGGCCUAAAGGUCCCAGUGGUUUACAUGGUGAACAAGGCCCUCAAGGCUUCAGAGGUGAACAUGGCCCUGCCGGUGCUAAAGGUGUGUAUCACAAUGAACACUUGGUGUGUUUUCACAAAGCAUUACAGUACGUAUAUGAAUAA